CGAACGGGUGAGUAACACGUGGGUAAUCUGUCCUGUACUCUGGGAUAAGCCCUGGAAACGGGGUCUAAUACCGGAUAUGACUUCGCACCGCAUGGUGUGGGGUGGAAAGUUCUGGCGGUACAGGGUGAGCCCGCGGCCUAUCAGCUUGUUGGUGGGGUGAUGGCCUACCAAGGCGACGACGGGUAGCCGGCCUGAGAGGGUGACCGGCCACACUGGGACUGAGACACGGCCCAGACUCCUACGGGAGGCAGCAGUGGGGAAUAUUGCACAAUGGGCGCAAGCCUGAUGCAGCGACGCCGCGUGGGGGAUGACGGCCUUCGGGUUGUAAACCUCUUUCGCCAGGGACGAAGCGUAAGUGACGGUACCUGGAGAAGAAGCACCGGCUAACUACGUGCCAGCAGCCGCGGUAAUACGUAGGGUGCGAGCGUUGUCCGGAAUUAUUGGGCGUAAAGAGCUCGUAGGCGGUUUGUUGCGUCGGCCGUGAAAACUGGAGGCUUAACCUUCAGCUUGCGGUCGAUACGGGCAGACUUGAGUUCGGUAGGGGAGACUGGAAUUCCUGGUGUAGCGGUGAAAUGCGCAGAUAUCAGGAGGAACACCGGUGGCGAAGGCGGGUCUCUGGGCCGAUACUGACGCUGAGGAG
RNAcentral lists this ribosomal RNA (640 nucleotides) under Amycolatopsis dongchuanensis. RNAcentral describes it as "bacterial SSU rRNA". It matches the Rfam family "Bacterial small subunit ribosomal RNA", at positions 99 to 753 of the family's 1533-position model. The record is from RNAcentral. Lineage: Bacteria; Bacillati; Actinomycetota; Actinomycetes; Pseudonocardiales; Pseudonocardiaceae.